CCCUUAGACGUUCUGGGCCGCACGCGCGCUACACUGACGAAGGCAACGAGCUUUCCUUUACCGAAAGGUACGGGUAAUCUUUUGAAACUUCGUCGUGCUGGGGAUAGAUCCUUGCAAUUUUUGAUCUUAAACGAGGAAUGCCUAGUAAGCGCAAGUCAUCAACUUGCGUUGAUUACGUCCCUGUCCUUUGUACACACCGCCCGUCGCUACUACCGAUUGAAUGGUUUAGUGAGGCCUUCGGAUCCGCGACUCGUUUUGUGGAGAAGUUGGACAAACUCAGUCAUUUAGAGGAAGUAAAAGUCGUAACA
RNAcentral lists this ribosomal RNA (308 nucleotides) under uncultured eukaryote. RNAcentral's name for it is "partial 18S ribosomal RNA". It matches the Rfam family "Eukaryotic small subunit ribosomal RNA", at positions 1470 to 1796 of the family's 1831-position model. The record is from RNAcentral.